UUUGUCUUUGUCUUUGUCUCAUUAACCCAAAAAGUAAAGGCUUAUUGGAAAUGAUAUUGUAAACCCAAAUUUAGUUAUAAAUGUUUCACUGUGAGAAUUGAUAUAUGUUUAUAUCAUUAGAUCUGUAAUCAAGGUUAACAAUGAAUAAUCCAUCUCAUACAUUGUCAUCAUUCAAUAUUUUAUAAUCAAUUGGAUACAAGCCCCCUGAUGAUGCCUUAUGGAGAGAUGAUCAUACUAAUCAAGUGUAAUACAGGUAAACAAUCAACCAAAACCAGGAGACAAAAUAAAAGGUAAUUUCAAGUCCGGAAAGAAAAAGGUCACAAUAUUAAAUGAAUUGAAUUGGAAACAAAUUUAAUUGAUUAAGAUUCAGUUUAAAGGUUAGGUAACCGUUAUAAUCUAUCAGAAAUAAUCAGCAAACAAAGAAUCCAUGUAUUUCCGGAUCAUCUUAUUCUUAGAAUUACUAAUGAUGAUUAAACCAAAUAAUCAAAAUGAAGUAAAAAAAUUAAAAUAAACAGAACAGAAAAUUUAAAAUCGAAUUUAAAAAAUUAGUUCAACUAUCGCUCACCAGAUGGCGGCACGUGAAGAGAACCAGAAAUUGAUUAAAAUUUGAUUGUUUUUCCUUCAUUAAUAUUGAUUAGUGAGAACCAUUUUGGUUAACUUGGAAUAAUUAUGAUUAAUAGUAACUUGAAUUAUCGUUAAAAUGGCCAAUCCUCCAGUUUAACACGAAAGAAUUGACAUUAUUCUGCCUACUGGACAUUACGAACAUAAGUUUACCAUUAGUUUCGAGGUUAAUGAUUACCUAACCUCGAUUUCCCUCCUUUUUUUGUUCUAAAUGAAAAUUAAUCCUUAACAAAGUUAAAUGUUCAUAUGAAGAUAACGACACUUAGUUAAUUAACAACUAUUCUAAUUAAAAGGAAACCUUUGCUCUUUCUCAUCAAAAGUUCAAAGGAAAAGUUAAUCACAAACAAUAAUGUAAGAAAAAGUUACGAAAAUGUUAAUAGAAAUAAAAAUAAAUAUUAUCCAGACAAUUGUCAGAGAUAAACGAUAAUAAA
This is a long non-coding RNA of Panonychus citri (citrus red mite), 1052 nucleotides long. RefSeq lists it as uncharacterized. The transcript has 2 exons. Lineage: Eukaryota; Metazoa; Arthropoda; Arachnida; Trombidiformes; Tetranychidae. The record is from RefSeq and is a predicted model, not a curated record.